UAUAUAAACACCACCCAUCACUUCCAAGCUCGGAUCAAGUGUUCUCCCAUGUUGCCCUCUCGAUAGAUCUCGUCGCCUCCUUUCCCUUCUCGCUUCCCUCGCUCGCCCUCUCAUGGCAAUGGCAAUAACUACCCCGCCGGCGCUCCGCCUUCGCCAGUCGCCUAGCCAUGGACCCUUCCGCCUCUUCCCUCCUCGCCCUUCGCGUUCACUCGUGGCGAGGGCCCAUGGCUCCAUCCCCAUGCCACUGUGUCGACGUCUGAUAACCCUAAACCAAUACCUUCCGGCAUCCGCAAUCCCCCGCCUGCGAUCGUCGCCGCUCUCCGCCACCUCGGCUGACGACGUCCAUCCGGUCGAUAAGGGAUCCAACUACCAGGAAUGGGAAUCCUUGACGUCCAGGUUCGCGGGAGCUGCGAACAUCCCCUUCCUCCUCCUACAACUUCCCCAGAUCAUCCUAAACGCCCGCAAUCUUCUCUCGGGCAACAACGCAGCCCUUUUUGCCGUGCCUUGGCUCGGUAUGCUUACUGGAUUGCUGGGCAACCUGUCGCUAGUGUCCUAUUUCGUGGAGAAGAAGGAGACAGAAGCUGUCAUCGUCCAGUCGCUGGGUGUCGUCUCGACGUAUGUAGUGAUAGCACAGCUAACCAUGGCCCAGGCGAUGCCGCUGCCGCAAUUCGCGGCGACGACGGUUGUUGUGGCUUUAGGGCUGGUUGUGAACUUUUUGAAUUACUUCGGUUGGGUUGAUGGUGCUAUCUGGAAUCUCUGGGAGGAUUUCAUUACCAUUGGUGGACUAGCUGUACUCCCUCAGGUUAUGUGGUCUACGUUUGUCCCAUUUGUCCCCAGCAGCAUCCUUCCUGGAGUCAUUUCCUUCACUCUGGCAGCUGCAACUGUCAUUUUGGCACGGACUGGCAAACUUUCCGAGAAGGCAACAAAGUUAGUAGGUUCAUUGUCUGGGUGGACUGCUACCCUCCUUUUCAUGUGGAUGCCGGUUGCACAGAUGUGGACAAAUUAUCUCAAUCCUGAUAACAUCAGAGGCUUAUCCUCUUUCACAAUGUUGCUCUCGAUGAUGGGAAACGGUCUGAUGAUUCCGCGAGCUUUGUUUAUACGAGACCUUAUGUGGUUCACUGGUUCAACUUGGGCAUCAUUUCUUCAGGGUUGGGGAAACCUAUUCUGCAUGUAUAGUCUUAACACCAUCAGCAGGGAGUUUUUCUUUGGAACAACCAUUGGACUGCUUCUUUGGACAGGGAUGGCCCUCUGGAGAGAUUCAGUGGCCUAUGGAUAUAACAACCCUUUAAGAUCCAUCAAAGAGCUUGCUUUUGGAUCAUGAUUAAAAUGAAGAUAGUACUUUCUUUUAGUAAUCCAAGUGUUCGAGCUUCCUACUAAUCUGAAAGUCCUACGAAGCCGACCUCCAGUAAAAUCUACUCUACUACUUCAAGAUGCGCCUCACCGACGUCGCUCCUCCUCAGCCUAGCGCCGGCAGCCGGCUGCCUUUCCUCUGCCGAUCCCUUGCCGCUGCCCUCUUUGGACCGAAGCAGCGUCGGCCACUGAGACUUCCUCUCUUCUCCUCUGGUCCGACGAGCCACCGCCGGACACCUUUGCUCUCGGCCCCAUCGCGGUGAUCAGUAGCCACUCGACGUUGACGCGCAGAGAUUACACCGUGCCCUAGUCCUCCAUCUCGCUGGCAACCGAGUACCACUGCCGGUGUUCUCCCGUGCCUGAGCUUCAUCUCCUCUUCAGAGUAAGGUUGUUCGGAUGAGGUAACAACAAGUGAUUUCAGCAGUGAUUCGGCAGUGUAAAUUUGAGGUUUCCAGCAGCAAUCAACCCUUGUUGGCAGUAACAAACUUUCAGUGGAUCAGUGAUACUUGCUGUGAAUUUAGGUUUAUCGGUUUGGGAGAUUGGCAAUUUAAUCUUGCUCCGACUGUUGAUUUACAGUAGCAACGUUUCCAACCAGAUUUGGACAAGUUGUAGAGGACCUUGACGCGAGACGGGUAUCUCGGCGUCGGAAUUUGACCGGAU
RNA transcript from Zingiber officinale, 2010 nucleotides. It is a transcript of the gene named maltose excess protein 1-like, chloroplastic, with no coding region annotated. Lineage: Eukaryota; Viridiplantae; Streptophyta; Magnoliopsida; Zingiberales; Zingiberaceae. The transcript has 12 exons. The record is from RefSeq and is a predicted model, not a curated record.